UACGUAGGGGGCAAGCGUUGUCCGGAUUUAUUGGGCGUAAAGAGCGUGUAGGCGGCCACACAGGUCAGCUGUGAAAACUCGAGGCUCAACCUCGAGACGUCGGUUGAAACCGUAUGGCUAGAGUCCGGAAGAGGAGAGUGGAAUUCCCGGUGUAGCGGUGAAAUGCGCAGAUAUCGGGAAGGACACCCGUGGCGAAGGCGGCUCUCUGGGACGGUACUGACGCUGAGGCGCGAAAGCGUGGGGAGCGAACAGG
RNAcentral lists this ribosomal RNA (253 nucleotides) under uncultured bacterium. RNAcentral's name for it is "partial 16S ribosomal RNA". It matches the Rfam family "Bacterial small subunit ribosomal RNA", at positions 524 to 776 of the family's 1533-position model. The record is from RNAcentral.